CGUAGGGUGCGAGCGUUAAUCGGAAUUACUGGGCGUAAAGCGUGCGCAGGCGGUUUUGUAAGACAGAUGUGAAAUCCCCGGGCUCAACCUGGGACCUGCAUUUGUGACUGCAAGGCUAGAGUACGGUAGAGGGGGGAUGGAAUUCCGCGUGUAGCAGUGAAAUGCGUAGAUAUGCGGAGGAACACCGAUGGCGAAGGCAAUCCCCUGGACCUGUACUGACGCUCAUGCACGAAAGCGUGGGGAGCAAACAGGAUUAGAUACCCUGGUAGUCCACGCCCUAAACGAUGUCAACUGGUUGUUGGGUCUUUACUGACUCAGUAACGAAGCUAACGCGUGAAGUUGACCGCCUGGGGAGUACGGCCGCAAGGUUG
RNAcentral lists this ribosomal RNA (371 nucleotides) under uncultured organism. RNAcentral's name for it is "bacterial SSU rRNA". It matches the Rfam family "Bacterial small subunit ribosomal RNA", at positions 526 to 896 of the family's 1533-position model. The record is from RNAcentral.